AUUGAACGCUGGCGGCAUGCCUUACACAUGCAAGUCGAACGGCAGCAUGGAGAGCUUGCUCUCUGAUGGCGAGUGGCGAACGGGUGAGUAAAGCAUCGGAACGUACCGCGUAGUGGGGGAUAACGUAGCGAAAGUUACGCUAAUACCGCAUACGCACUGAGGUGGAAAGCAGGGGAUCGCAAGACCUUGCGCUAUACGAGCGGCCGAUGUCAGAUUAGCUAGUUGGUAGGGUAAAGGCCUACCAAGGCGACGAUCUGUAGCGGGUCUGAGAGGAUGGGCGGCCACACUGCGACUGGGCGCGGUCCCAGAGUCCUACGGGAGGUAGGAGUGGAGAACUUUGGACAAUGGGGGCAACCGUGAUCCGGCAAUGCCGCGUGAGUGAAGAAGGCCUUCGGGUUGUAAAGCUCCUUCGGCCGGGAAGAAAUCGCACAGGCUAAUACUCUGUGUGGAUGACGGUACCGACAUAAGAAGCACCGGCUAACUGCGUGCCAGCCGCCGCGGUAA
This 504-nucleotide ribosomal RNA is filed under the name uncultured bacterium. RNAcentral describes it as "partial 16S ribosomal RNA". It matches the Rfam family "Bacterial small subunit ribosomal RNA", at positions 29 to 523 of the family's 1533-position model. The record is from RNAcentral.